GGUUGAGUGCCCUGAGUUCAUUCCCUGGUAUCAAAAAAAAAAAAAAAAAAAAAAGAAAGAAGAAAAGAAAGAAAGUCUUCUGCUCUCAUUAUUUAUUAUUUUUUUUAAUAUUUAUUUUUUAGUUGUAGUUGGACACAAUACAUUUAUUUUAUUUACUUAUUUUCAUGUGUGGAUUGAACCCAGGGCCUUGCAAGUGCUAAGCGAGUGCUCUACUGUUGAGCCCCAACCCCAGCCCUGUUUAUUAUUUUUACUGCUACUUAUUUUUUUGGCUUAUGGAGCAAAGAUUUAUUGAAUGUGCAGACAGGUGCUGGGGAUACAACGAGAACAAAACUGGCCUGACCCCUGUUCUCAUAAAGCUUUAAAGAAUGAAGAAAGCCAGUCAAUCAGCAAGUGAUUACAACAGGGAGAGAUGCUUGAAGAAAUGGUUUUAAAAAUGGAAAAAGCAUGAAGCUCAAAGACAAUCAUUACAGCAUUAUGUAUACCAGCAAAAAAUUGGUCACAAUCUAUGUCUAACAGUAAAGAGAGAUACAUAUUCCAUGGGCUAUCAUGCUGCCAUUAAAAUGAUCUCAGAGAGCAUCCAUGAUAAUGAUAUGAGACUUAUUUUUUUUUUAUUUUUUAGUUGUAGUUGGACACAACGCCUUUACUUUAUUUAUCUUUAUGUGGUGCUGAGGAUCAAACUCAGGCCUCACACAUGUGAGACAAGCGCUAUACCGCUGAGCCCUAGCCCCAGCCCCUGAUAUAACACUUAUUAUGUAAAAAAGUAAAAAACUAGCAGUGGUGGCACAUGCCUGUAAUCCCAGCAAUUCAGGAGAAGCAAGGAGGAAGGAGGAUUUCAAGUUCAAGGCUAGCCGUGGCCACUUAGCAAGACCCUAUCUCAAAAAAAUUAAAAAGGGCUGGGGAUGUCUCUCAGUGGUAGAGUGCCUCCCCCACCCCAAAAAGUAGACAAAGGAUAUAAAAGAAUAUAAAGUUGUAUGAAAACAUAUUCAAUCAUAUUAAAAUAUACAUAAAGCCCAGAAAGAAACUCACAAAAAAAUGCUAAUGAUGGUUGAGAGCAGGACUAUUCAAGGCACAGAAUCAGGCUGAACUGCCGCUUUUGUAAGUCAUGUUCUUCUGGCUCAACCUGAGUUGCUGGAGAAAAGGGCCCAAGGCACACUUGGAUUCAAAUCUUGCUCCAGUACCUUGCAUCAUCCAGUGUGUGCAGCACCUCACUUGUGUAACCUUAGACAAUUUUUUUUUUUUUGGUUCCAUGGAUUGAACCCAGAAGCGCUUAACCACUGAACCACAUUCCAAGCCACCCCCACCCCUUUUUUUGUUUGUUUGUUUUAAGAUAGGGUGAGAUAGGGUCUCACUCAGUUGCUUAGGGCCUCACUAAAUUGCUGAGGCUGACUUUGAACUUGUGACCCUCCUGCCUCAGCCUCCUGAGCUGCCAAGAUUCCAGGAGUGCGCCACCACGCCCAGCUUGGACAAAUUUACUUAACCUUUCUAGGCCACCUAGUGUACCUCUCGGGAUGGUGGCCAAGAUGAAAUGGAACAAGGAACGUAAGCAUCCUGGAACACUCUAGUCCCCAGGCAAACAGUGGCCAUGAUAGUCAUGCUCUGUUCCCUGGGGAUCUGGAGCCUGUUCCUGGGAAUGCGGUUGAAGGCUUUCUUCCAGCCCUGUUGUGACCCACUCAGCCAGAGAAAGACAGUGAUCUGAGAACAGGGCUGCAUAUUUGUGCUCUGAAGGACCCUGGGAGCAUUAUUUAGAGAGGACAUUCUCUCCCAGGCCUAAGCUGCUCUUUCACCCAGCAGCUGCAGACUGGACUAAGCACCCAGAGAGACCCACCCUGGCCCUGAAACCUUGCCUGAGUCCUGACAGCCUGUGGCACAAUCCUCUUUCCUCAGGAGCAGCUUUUGGUUUCUGAACACAGAAGCUGAGCUCAACUUUAUCAUGUCCAGUACCCAGAAAUGGGCUAUAGCAUUUCUGUGUGGGGUGAAGAAAUUUCCAAAGAAAUAAAUGAUAGUAAAAUGUAUACAGAGGCUGGAGUUGUAGUUCAGCGGUAGAUCGCUUGCCUAGCAUGUGUGAAGCACUGAGUUUGAUCCUCAGCACCUCUGGACUUAUUUUUAUAAAAAAUAAAUAAAUAAAAUAAAGAUACUGAGUCUUUCUACAACAACAACAAAAAAUAUAUAUAUAUAUUUUUAAAAAGGGUACACAUAGUGGGGUAGGGAGUGGGAGCAUGGGAGGAAUAGACGAACUCCAGAUAGGGCAAAGGGGUGGAAGGGGAAGGGAGGGGGCAGGGGGUUAGAAAUGAUGGUGGAAUGUGAUGAACAUUAUUAUCCAAAAUACAUGUAUGAAGACACAAAUUGGUGUGAAUGUACUUUAUAUACAACCAGAGAUAUGAAAAAAUGUGCUCUAUAUGUGUAAUAUGAAUUGUAAUGCAUUCUGCUGUCAUAUAUUAAAAAAUCAAUAAAAAAUGGGGUACAAACUUUCA
Molecule: long non-coding RNA, 2471 nt
Organism: Marmota monax (woodchuck)
Lineage: Eukaryota; Metazoa; Chordata; Mammalia; Rodentia; Sciuridae
Exons: 2
Source: RefSeq, a predicted model, not a curated record